This is a long non-coding RNA of Chinchilla lanigera (long-tailed chinchilla), 1157 nucleotides long. NCBI's taxonomy places the organism in Eukaryota, Metazoa, Chordata, Mammalia, Rodentia, Chinchillidae. The record is from Ensembl.
CACAAUCUAAGUGCUUUUCUAAUCAAAAGCAGCUCACAACACAACUCCCAUGAAGGUGUCUGAAACGUUGCCUUUUCUCUCCAAACUUACAGGGAAGGUGGUCCAAAAGCAACUGUGUAAAAAAAUCAAGGUGGUGAUGAAGACAAAGUUUCACCUGAAGCCAUUCUCCUUUGAACACCCUGGACAGAAAAACAAUUCUCCCUUCCCCAAGGCGGUAAGACCUCUCCUCAGGCAGAUCUGGAGCUGAGGAGCCUGCCUUGGUUCGGACAGCUCACUGCCAAGUCAGCAGCUCCUACUCGGACGCCCAAGUCAAGCCUCCUGCUGUGCUUCCAGUCAUCUCCAACCCACUUCCGCCCAGCAAGCCCCGCCCACCAGGCCUGCACCUUCCAGUCAAUCAGAUCGUGAUGUCAGUCUCUCCCAGAUCCUCCUUUCCCCUCCGUUCACACCCUGAUAGACUCGCCCUUCUCCACUUUCUCAGAGUCCACCUGCCAUUUAAAGACCUUCAUUUGCAAAGGCUUAGUUCCUGCUGAUUUUACUUCCUGAUGUGUUUCCUGCAUAGAUUUUCUUCUGUAAAAUUGAAACAACAGUAGUACUGUCUUCAUAGAGUUGUGGGGAUUGAAAUAAACCAGGAACCCAUGCCUCCUCUGACACUCAGCUUUGACUGUCUCAUCAUUAGAUUGCAUCACCUAAUCUCUUGUGUUAUUUGUUUAUUCACUGAUUUCUUUUUGAGACAGGGUCUCACUAUGUAGUUCAGGUGGGUUCUGAACUCACUAGGUAGCCUAGGCUGGUCUCGAACUCACAACAAUCCUCCUGCCUCAGCCUCUUCAGUGCUGGAAUUGCAAGAGUGUGCCGCUACACCUGGCCCCUUGUGUUUUUUAAAGUCACUUUUUGGUUAUUUAAAAAAACCUGUCUGAUUUCUAUUCUCUCUAAUAUUAACCCGUUUGUGUGAGUGUAUGUGUGUGAGUGUGUGUGUAUGUUUGGCAGUGGUGGGUACCAAAUGUGAAGCCUCACACAUGUCAGGCAAACCCUAUACCACUGAGCUAUACUAGCCCUAAACUGUCUUAAGCCAGCAGAGUCAAGAUAUAUACCCAUGAUCUUUAUAAUGCUCUGGCCUCUCCGCUAAUGAUCUUGUCCUUUACUCAUCCUCAACCAAUUAU